AGAAGGGACCACCUAUUCUAGGUAGGGCAGCCACAAAGGGCCAGACAUGUAAGCUGAGGCUGUUGGUAGAGCUCAGGGAAGAGCAACCCAAGGUGAAGACACAAGGUGUGUACAAUUCUGGGCAUACCUCAACAACGGAAAGACUAGUGAAGCUGGCCCAGGAAUGGGGAACCGAACUGGCAGAUACAAGAUCAGGUGAGGUAGCAAAGGCCAUUCCUCCUCCAUUGUGCUGUGUUCAAGAAAACUGCAGAGUUAAGAAAGAACAAGGAUCAUCAAUCAGGACUUCUGGGACUUUCAUUUUUAACCAGAGUUGAAAACACAGGGGCUUGGAGACCUUUCUGUGAUGUCUUCUGGCUUUCAAGUUUUAAAACCUGUAUGCCCUUGAUCCUACUCCUUCCUCCACUAUUCACCUCCUUGGAAAUCUGAGAGACAUUCAUGUCCCAGGAGUGACCAGCUUGAAGAGAGCUGAAACCCAGCCCCAUUGCACAGCUGGCUCCCAAGGAUCUAUCUUGGCUCUCGACUUCCUAAAUACAGAGUUUAUUUCACCUCCUGGCUCCCUUGUGGAUGUAGGGGCCAUGGGACUAGUUCUGGACGAGGCAUCGUAAAGGAAAAUGAUAUGUGUCAACUUAGGGCUGAGCAUUUAAUUGAUUGCCCAAGACCUCCAAGUCUUGCUGUGUUCUUUGGCAUACUACACAGUGAUGUUUGCAGUGGGAGCUACUCUGUUAGCCUGGGUGACUAAAUGAUAAUGAUAUGCAAAGCCUCCUUGUUGAUCUAUGAUGAG
RNAcentral lists this long non-coding RNA (781 nucleotides) under Homo sapiens (human). RNAcentral's name for it is "HSALNT0375874". The record is from RNAcentral. Lineage: Eukaryota; Metazoa; Chordata; Mammalia; Primates; Hominidae.